Molecule: ribosomal RNA, 253 nt
Filed under: uncultured bacterium
Lineage: Bacteria
Description: partial 16S ribosomal RNA
Rfam family: Bacterial small subunit ribosomal RNA
Source: RNAcentral
UACGAAGGGGGCUAGCGUUGCUCGGAAUCACUGGGCGUAAAGGGUGCGUAGGCGGGUCUUUAAGUCAGGGGUGAAAUCCUGGAGCUCAACUCCAGAACUGCCUUUGAUACUGAGGAUCUUGAGUACGGGAGAGGUGAGUGGAACUGCGAGUGUAGAGGUGAAAUUCGUAGAUAUUCGCAAGAACACCAGUGGCGAAGGCGGCUCACUGGCCCGAUACUGACGCUGAGGCACGAAAGCGUGGGGAGCAAACAGG